UGGGUUUUAGAACGUCGUGAGACAGUUCGGUCCCUAUCUGCCGUGGGCGUAGGAGAAUUGGUUGGGGCUGCUCCUAGUACGAGAGGACCGGAGUGGACGCACCACUGGUGUUCCGGUUGUGUCGCCAGACGCAUUGCCGGGUAGCUAAGUGCGGAAGAGAUAAGUGCUGAAAGCAUCUAAGCACGAAACUUGCCAAGAGAUGAGUUCUCCCAAUCUAAGAGAUAGUAAGGGUUGUUGUAGACUACGACGUAGAUAGGUCUGGUGUGUAAGUGUAGUGAUACAUUGAGCUAACAGAUACUAAUUGCCCGAGAGGCUUAACU
Molecule: ribosomal RNA, 320 nt
Filed under: Haemophilus influenzae PittAA
Lineage: Bacteria; Pseudomonadati; Pseudomonadota; Gammaproteobacteria; Pasteurellales; Pasteurellaceae
Description: bacterial LSU rRNA
Rfam family: Bacterial large subunit ribosomal RNA
Source: RNAcentral